This 83-nucleotide ribosomal RNA is filed under the name uncultured bacterium. RNAcentral describes it as "partial 16S ribosomal RNA". The record is from RNAcentral.
CUUUAGACCUAGAUGAAGGCUGCAAGGUGAAUAAUCUUGCAGUUUGACAGUAUAGGUAGAAUAAGCCACGGCUAACUCUGUGC